This 344-nucleotide ribosomal RNA is filed under the name uncultured bacterium. RNAcentral's name for it is "bacterial SSU rRNA". It matches the Rfam family "Bacterial small subunit ribosomal RNA", at positions 163 to 507 of the family's 1533-position model. The record is from RNAcentral.
GUACUCCCAUAGUAUUGUGGGUAGGCAUCUAUCUGCAAUUAAAGUUUCGACGGUAUAUGAUUGGUGUGCGUUCCAUUAGCUAGUUGGUAGGGUAACGGCCUACCAAGGCGACGAUGGGUAGCUGGCGUGAGAGCGCGACCAGCCACACUGGAACUGAGACACGGUCCAGACUCCUACGGGAGGCAGCAGUAGGGAAUAUUGGACAAUGGGCGAAAGCCUGAUCCAGCCAUGCCGCGUGAUAGAUGAAGGCCCUCUGGGUUGUAAAUAUCUUUUAUCUGGGAAGAAACUCCUCUAUUCUUAGAGGCCUGACGGUACCAGAGGAAUAAGCACCGGCUAACUCCGUG